AUACGUAGGGGGCGAGCGUUGUCCGGAAUGAUUGGGCGUAAAGGGCGCGUAGGCGGCCGCUUAAGUCUGGAGUGAAAGUCCUGUUUUCAAGAUGGGAAUUGCUUUGGAUACUGGGGGGCUUGAGUGCAGGAGAGGUUAUCGGAAUUCCCGGUGUAGCGGUGAAAUGCGUAGAGAUCGGGAGGAACACCAGUGGCGAAGGCGGGUAACUGGACUGCAACUGACGCUGAGGCGCGAAAGUGUGGGGAGCAAACAGGAUUAGAUACCCUGGUAGUCCACACUGUAAACGAUGAAUGCUAGGUGUAAGAGGUAUCGACCCCUUUUGUGCCGGAGUCAACACAAUAAGCAUUCCGCCUGGGGAGUACGGCCGCAAGGUUGAAACUCAAAGGAAUUGGCGGGG
RNAcentral lists this ribosomal RNA (397 nucleotides) under uncultured bacterium. RNAcentral's name for it is "partial 16S ribosomal RNA". It matches the Rfam family "Bacterial small subunit ribosomal RNA", at positions 523 to 918 of the family's 1533-position model. The record is from RNAcentral.